UGUGGUGUAGCUCAGCGGAAGAGCGCUUGGCUUUGGCACAGGGUACAGGAGGUCACCGGUUCGAAUCCGGUCACCACAU
RNAcentral lists this transfer RNA (79 nucleotides) under Pantoea agglomerans. RNAcentral's name for it is "tRNA-OTHER". It matches the Rfam family "tRNA". Rfam says of the family: Transfer RNA (tRNA) molecules are approximately 80 nucleotides in length. Their secondary structure includes four short double-helical elements and three loops (D, anti-codon, and T loops). The record is from RNAcentral. Lineage: Bacteria; Pseudomonadati; Pseudomonadota; Gammaproteobacteria; Enterobacterales; Erwiniaceae.